GACGAACGCUGGCGGCGUGCUUAACACAUGCAAGUCGAACGGAAAGACCCUGCUUUUGUGGGGUGCUCGAGUGGCGAACGGGUGAGUAACACGUGAGUAACCUGCCCUUGACUUUGGGAUAACUUCAGGAAACUGGGGCUAAUACCGGAUAGGAGCUCCUGCUGCAUGGUGGGGGUUGGAAAGUUUCGGCGGUUGGGGAUGGACUCGCGGCUUAUCAGCUUGUUGGUGGGGUAGUGGCUUACCAAGGCUUGGACGGGUAGCCGGCCUGAGAGGGUGACCGGAGGGAGUGGGGGUGGGGCACGGCGCAGAGGAGGGGGGGGGGGAGCAGUGGGGGAGAGGGGGCCGGGGGCGGGAGCGUGAUGCGGCAGGGCGGCGUGCGGGAUGACGGCCUGCGGGUCGUAAGCCGCGUUCGCGGGGGACGAAGGGUGGGUGGCGGUAGGGGGGAAGGAAGACGCGGCAAGCCGCGGGCCAGGGGCGGGGGUAAUAAGGGGAGGCGCGCCCGCCUGACC
Molecule: ribosomal RNA, 509 nt
Filed under: uncultured bacterium
Lineage: Bacteria
Description: partial 16S ribosomal RNA
Rfam family: Bacterial small subunit ribosomal RNA (bases 20-332)
Source: RNAcentral